RNAcentral lists this non-coding RNA (241 nucleotides) under Enterococcus hirae. RNAcentral's name for it is "T-box sequence". It matches the Rfam family "T-box leader". From Rfam's summary of the family: Uncharged tRNA acts as the effector for transcription antitermination of genes in the T-box leader family. T-boxes are found upstream of many aminoacyl-tRNA synthetase genes and some amino acid biosynthetic genes usually in Gram-positive bacteria. The record is from RNAcentral. Lineage: Bacteria; Bacillati; Bacillota; Bacilli; Lactobacillales; Enterococcaceae.
CUAAACACGAUGAACAGAAAGAAGUAAGUAAUCAUUGAUCUCAAGAGAGGUGACGGGCGGUGGAAGUCACUGAUUGAUGUUUACUGAAAUGCCUCUGGGAGUGGUUUCGGCGAGUGAAAUAGACACAUCUCUUUGUGACGAAUUUCAGGUAGUCGAGAACGUGUAAGCUUACGUUAACAGCUAGAGGUAAUCAUAUCUGAUUAUAAAUAAAAGUGGAACCACGCCAAUUAGCGUCUUUUAA